GAUUAACGCUGGCGGCGUGCCUUAUGCAUGCAAGUCGAACGAGCACCGCAAGGUGCUAGUGGCGAACGGGUGCGUAACACGUAAGUAACCUACCCUUAAGUAUAGGAUAACCCCCGAAAGGUGGACUAAUACUGUAUGUGCUCCUUUCUCACAUGGGGAAGUAGUAAAGCCGUAAGGCGCUUGAGGAUGGGCUUGCGUCCGAUUAGCUAGUUGGUGAGGUAACGGCCCACCAAGGCGACGAUCGGUAGCUGGUUUGAGAGGACGACCAGCCACACGGGGACUGAGACACGGCCCCGACUCCUACGGGAGGCAGCAGCAAGGAAUAUUGCGCAAUGGGCGAAAGCCUGACGCAGCGACGCCGCGUGAGGGAAGAAGGUCUUCGGAUUGUAAACCUCUUUUCUUAGGGAAGAAUAAUGACGGUACCUGAGGAAUAAGUCACGGCUAACUACGUGCCAGCAGCCGCGGUAAUACGUAGGUGGCUAGCGUUAUCCGGAUUUACUGGGCGUAAAGAGGGUGCAGGCGGCUCUUCAAGUCGGUUAUAAAAUCUCUUGGCUUAACUAAGAGGGACUGACCGAUACUGUUGGGCUGGAGAGCAGCAGAGGGAGAUGGAAUUCCCGGUGUAGUGGUGAAAUGCGUAGAUAUCGGGAGGAACAUCAGUGGCGAAAGCGGUCUCCUAGGCUGUUUCUGACGCUGAGGCCCUAAAGCGUGGGGAGCAAACAGGAUUAGAUACCCUGGUAGUCCACGCCCUAAACUAUGGAUACUAGGUAUGGGGGGUAUCGACCCCCUCCGUGCCGAAGUUAACACGUUAAGUAUCCCGCCUGGGGAGUACGGCCGCAAGGUUAAAACUCAAAGGAAUUGACGGGGGCCCGCACAAGCAGCGGAGCGUGUGGUUUAAUUCGAUGCAACACGAAGAACCUUACCAAGGCUUGACAUACUGGAAGUAGAGAACCGAAAGGUCGACGACCUGUUAAAUCAGGAGCCAGCACAGGUGCUGCAUGGCUGUCGUCAGCUCGUGCCGUGAGGUGUUGGGUUAAGUCCCGCAACGAGCGCAACCCUCGUUGCCAGUUGUUUUCUCUGGCGAGACUGCCCCGUAGAACGGGGAGGAAGGUGGGGAUGACGUCAAGUCAGCAUGGCCUUUAUGCCUUGGGCUACACACACGCCACAAUGGUCGGUACAAUUAGUUGCAAUGGAGCGAUCCGGAGCUAAUCCCUAAAACCGAUCUCAGUUCGGAUUGUAGGCUGAAACCUGCCUGCAUGAAGCUGGAGUUGCUAGUAACCGCAUAUCAGCAUGGUGCGGUGAAUACGUUCUCGGGCCUUGUACACACCGCCCGUCACGUCAUGAAAGCCGGUAACACCCGAAGUCGAUGGGCUAACCUUUAGUUUACUAGAGGGGGCAGUUGCCUAGGGUGGGACUGGUGAUUGGGACGAAGUCGUAACAAGGUAGCCGUAGCGGAAGCGGCCGCUCAAC
RNAcentral lists this ribosomal RNA (1467 nucleotides) under uncultured bacterium. RNAcentral's name for it is "partial 16S rRNA". It matches the Rfam family "Bacterial small subunit ribosomal RNA". The record is from RNAcentral.